Molecule: long non-coding RNA, 848 nt
Organism: Zootermopsis nevadensis
Lineage: Eukaryota; Metazoa; Arthropoda; Insecta; Blattodea; Termopsidae
Source: RefSeq, a predicted model, not a curated record
AACACAAUCGAUUCACCAACGAAGCGUGACGACUACAUUACAAAUACAAUUACCAACAUAACAACACGGAAUCCAUAGACAUUGCAAUCAUCUCUUCGUAACCUGUGCCUACGACUACAUGUUCGAAAUCUAUGGAAGAGGUUGAUGCGAUAUCUCGUUCUCACGGCGGCAAGUAUGAAGAGGACUGCUUCUGGGAUGUUGAUCAACAGUUACUACCAAGCUGCACGGAGCAACAUCCCAGAAGACUGUCAUCUCAAAAGAUAUUGUUUUGAGAAUUUUCAAGAAGAAAACGGUCUGGGUCAAAAAUAUCUGGAUUUGGAAAGAAUCUGGGGUCUCGGUGUAAAAUGUACGUGUUUACCAACACUGUGACUCCUGGUGGCAACACAUGAUCAACUGCAAAUGAACAAGAAUUACACAAACAAAUUUCCUUUCAGUAUGAACUUCAAUAACUCACAUAUUUGCACGGGUUGCUUUAUAUCUCUGGCGAUAAGUGGCACUACAGGAUACAGGCGCAUUGCCUCUUUGAUGCACCUUUCAAGGAAAAUGAGUUUCUGGAGCUGCUUUAUUGUAGGCCACUCUCCUCCUCCGGCUUCCUUCACAUUCCUCACCUCUUGAACAACUUUCUCCUGUGAAAGGUUAAUUUAAAAUUCUAAAUAUGUUCAGUAAAACAUGUACCCAUGUAAAUAACACAUGUUUAAAUAGUACAGAAGCUGUUAUGUUUCCAUUGGUAUAAUAUAUGUCGGAUCUUGUUGGGGCAGGGUUGACAAUACUGAAUGUUCUGGAGCACCAUGAAUCAAAAUUUGAUUUCCUAAUAUUAUUAGAAUUAAAAAUUUUGUUUGUUUAUAGUU